AGCGGGGCGAUUUCGAAAAGAAGGACUGCAGCGCCCCUCGGGGCUUCUCGGGGAGCCCAGGAGGAAAGAGCUCAAUGCGGAAUCACAUAGGCAAAGGCUCUGAUUAUUUUCCUUGCAAUCGAAGACAAAAGCCGCCAUGUUUAUUAAAAUGAAAGUCGUAUUUUUACUCUUCCCUGGAAAGAAGUGUGUGCAACCAGACCAUCCCACCAAAGUCCUUCUAGCCCCCAGGAAGACAAUUGAAGAGUUCAAAGAAUUGAAAAGUUAAGCCAAUUUAUUUAAAAUAAUAUUUGACUUUCUCAUUAUCAAUAUAUGUGUAUUUUCUGCAAGGUUACAAAAACAACUGGAACAUAUGUUAAAACAAUCUUCAGUGUCAUCUGCAGCAACUAAUUCUAGAGAACUAUCUUAUUCAAUUUCAUUUCUUACUUAUAUGGAACUAAACCUUAAUCUGCUUUUCAGGUAUGAAAUAUAUUCAUGAUUCUGUCUCAAAAUAUGAAAUCAAAAGUUAGUAUUAUAACUCCCAGCUAACUGUCAUAUUAAUUCAUCUGGAUGAACCUUGUGGUACUGAACUCUGACAAUGCUCAGGGUGUC
RNAcentral lists this non-coding RNA (588 nucleotides) under Pan troglodytes (chimpanzee). Lineage: Eukaryota; Metazoa; Chordata; Mammalia; Primates; Hominidae. The record is from RNAcentral.